RNAcentral lists this ribosomal RNA (251 nucleotides) under uncultured prokaryote. RNAcentral describes it as "partial 16S ribosomal RNA". It matches the Rfam family "Bacterial small subunit ribosomal RNA", at positions 525 to 775 of the family's 1533-position model. The record is from RNAcentral.
ACGUAGGUGACAAGCGUUAUCCGGAAUUACUGGGCGUAAAGCGCACGCAGGCGGCUGAUUAAGUCUGACGUGAAAUCUCCUGGCUUAACUGGGAGGGGUCGUUGGAAACUGGUCGGCUUGAGGCAGUGAGAGGGGUGUGGAAUUCCCGGUGUAGUGGUGGAAUGCGUAGAUAUCGGGAGGAACACCAGUGGCGCAAGCGGGUGCCUGGGCGACGACUGACACUGAGGGACGAAAGCGUGGGGAGCGAACAG